GACAGAGGGUGCAAACGUUGUUCGGAAUUACUGGGCGUAAAGCGCGUGUAGGCUGCUUGGUAAGUCGGAUGUGAAAGCCCUGGGCUCAACCUAGGAAGUGCAUUCGAAACUUCCAAGCUGGAGUGCUGGAGAGGAAGGCGGAAUUCUCGGUGUAGAGGUGAAAUUCGUAGAUAUCGAGAGGAACACCGGUGGCGAAGGCGGCCUUCUGGGCCUUUCCUGACGCUGAGGCGCGAAAGCGUGGGGAGCGAACAGG
RNAcentral lists this ribosomal RNA (253 nucleotides) under uncultured bacterium. Its description in RNAcentral is "partial 16S ribosomal RNA". It matches the Rfam family "Bacterial small subunit ribosomal RNA", at positions 524 to 776 of the family's 1533-position model. The record is from RNAcentral.